This 329-nucleotide ribosomal RNA is filed under the name Acipenser oxyrinchus desotoi (Gulf sturgeon). Its description in RNAcentral is "partial 16S ribosomal RNA". It matches the Rfam family "Bacterial large subunit ribosomal RNA", at positions 2176 to 2569 of the family's 2925-position model. Lineage: Eukaryota; Metazoa; Chordata; Actinopteri; Acipenseriformes; Acipenseridae. The record is from RNAcentral.
AAACACAAGAUCAACUAUGCUAUCAAGCCUAUCGCCCACGGAAAUAAUAGCUAAAAGCAUAAUAGUACCCUGAUCCCAAUGUUUUCGGUUGGGGCGACCACGGAGGACAAAAAAGCCUCCAUGUCGACGGGGGCACUGCCCCUAAAACCUAGGGCGACAGCCCAAAGCAACAGAACAUCUGACGAACAAUGACCCAGGCUAAAGCCUGAUCAACGAACCAAGUUACCCUAGGGAUAACAGCGCAAUCCUUUCUAAGAGUCCAUAUCGACGAAAGGGUUUACGACCUCGAUGUUGGAUCAGGACAUCCUAAUGGUGCAGCCGCUAUUAAG